Molecule: long non-coding RNA, 1616 nt
Filed under: Anas zonorhyncha (Eastern spot-billed duck)
Lineage: Eukaryota; Metazoa; Chordata; Aves; Anseriformes; Anatidae
Description: lncRNA (ENSAZOG00000002278.1)
Source: RNAcentral
GCUCUCACAGGUAGAUGAAGCAAACGCCGAGGUGCUGCAGCUGUGAGCAGGAGGAAAAUUAAGCUGUGAACUGGAAUUCCAUCAGGCUGUCUACUGUGAAGCCCUGUGGCUUUAGCAAAGGGGCAGCAGUGGUCAGAAAUGACACCCAAAAGAAAAUGACAUGGAAUUCACAGUGGACUUCCUACUCCUGUGAAAGAAAGGGAGAAGAUGCUUUUGCUUCACGCAAUCUUCACAUCUAAAGAGGUUGCUGCUGUUAAGCACUUCCGCAACUUAGACACGCAAAGAAAUGGGAACCCUUUGCAGCCAGUAGUGGAACAUGAGCGUGGACCCUUCAGGCUUUGUCUGAUUUCUUCCUGUUUCUCUGACAUGUUGCUAAAUCAUGGCAAUGGAAGAGCUCAUCUCCAGGCUGCCAAACCCAUGCUGCCUUCCAGGUUAGACCUAAACAGACAUCAACAUACUUAGAGCUGCUCACUUUAGUCAGCAAGGCAGGAUCCCAUUCUUGGGAUUAUAGCCUGACUAUGGAUUGGGAGUAUGGGAGAAAUUUCUAAAGGGGCUGCAAAAAGGGAAUAGUCUUAAGGCUACAGCAAAGCUGUGAAGCUGCAAUGGUCCUGAAUUGUAGGAUUUGGGGUUGGCAAGCUGAUUAUUCAGCUCUGCAGCACUCAGACCCCAACCGUGAACGUCAUAGGAACUUUGAUGUUUUUAAUGUUGUCCAUGGCUGUGCUGUAGUAGGCAGGACUGACCCUUUUAUGCUCUCACAGGUCUUUUUUUUUUCUGACAGUUUUAUGGGCAUAAAUAGAUAAAAAUCUUCAUUUUAGGAAAAGCAUAUAUUUAGGAAUUUUAGGAUACUAAUUUCAUGUUGCCCUAGAGCAUUUUCUGCAAAUGUUAGCAUGCACAUACUAUUUCUGGUGAUUAAAGCAGAGUAUUUUGACUUUAAAGUGGCAUCUUCUGAAUAAAUCUGUCUCCAAAUGAUUUAUGCAUCCCAUUAGGAUUUAGUGCUGGUAGUUGUUCUGGGAAUCUUGAUCUGGUCUUUCAAGAGUCGCCUUAGCUUUAUCAGUCCAUUUACAUGUGGUCAUAUUUCAACCUCCAGGAGCUUUAAAAUGUUUAGUACACAGAACACAAAUUUAGGCCUGUGUUUGUUUUUAUUGGUGGAACCUCUUUCCUUUCUUCAACAUUCUCAAAUGUUCCCUGGUUUAAGUAGAGUUAUCUAAGGUAAUCCACUCUUGCCCUUACCAGGGAUAUUCCACUUUGUUCAUAAGCACAUAACAUAACUCUAGUCCCCAGUGAUUUCAUUGUGAAAUUAAAACCCAGACACUCAUCCAGAUGUCUUAGAAGAUAAGGGCAGGCCUAAUCCGUAUGUCACAGAGGACUUGAGGAGCAGGAAUUCACCUAUACAUCAUCACGUUGUUAUUAGCCCGGACCAUGGCAAGCCCAACACAAACAUUUUCCACAGGGCUUGCAUUCAGGCUUGGCAGUGUUAAGAAAAUACCCUCCAGCGAUGUGUUAUUUUAGGCUGAAAUAAAAGUAGACAUGAAUGGCAAGAGGAACAGAGAAGUAUUGUUUUUAUUUUCAAUGUGAACCCAUAACUCGUGUUAAAUGAAAAUCUAACCAACUAAGAU